This 618-nucleotide ribosomal RNA is filed under the name uncultured crenarchaeote. Its description in RNAcentral is "partial 16S ribosomal RNA". It matches the Rfam family "Archaeal small subunit ribosomal RNA", at positions 317 to 965 of the family's 1478-position model. Lineage: Archaea; Thermoproteati; Thermoproteota. The record is from RNAcentral.
CAUAACAUAUCUAUCACAAUAGCACAGAAAGUGGAUAUAAGGAGUAUCCAAAGGCGCUUAGCUUUGAAGAAAUUUGCCAAGAGUAAAAAUCUUGGAGAAUAAGUGGGGGGAAAGACUGGGGCCAGCCGCCGCGGUAACACCAGCGCCACGAGGGGGGAUCCUGAUUUUUUGGCCUAAAGCGUCCGUAGCUGGUUUAGUAAAUCUCUUGGGAAAUCGUGGGGCUCAACCCAACGGCGUGCAGGGGAGACUGCUAGAUUAGGGACGGGGAGGGGUCGGAGGUAUGCCGGGGGGGGCGGUAAAUUGUUUUAAUCCCUAUUAAACCACCUGUGGCGAAGGCGUCUGAUUAGAAGGGGUCCGACAGUGAGGGACAAAAGCCAGGGGAGCAAACCGGAUUAGAUACCCGAGUAGCCCUGGCUGUAAACCCUGCGAGCUAGGUGUUGCACAUUCUCCGCGAAUGUGCAGGGUCGAAGCAAAGGUGUUAAGCUCCCCGCCUGGGAAGUAUGGUCGCAAGACUGAAACUUAAAGGAAUUGGCGGGGGAAAGGGCGAAUUCCCGCCCGUUAAAUUCAAUUCCCCCUAUGGGGAGUCGUAUUACAAUUCACUGGCCGCCGUUUUAAAAA